GCACCCGUAGCUCAAUUGGAUAGAGCAUUGGUCUACGGAACCAAAGGUUACAAGUUCGAGUCUUGUCGGGUGCA
Molecule: transfer RNA, 74 nt
Filed under: Planctomycetes bacterium GWF2_50_10
Lineage: Bacteria; Pseudomonadati; Planctomycetota
Description: tRNA-Arg
Rfam family: tRNA
About the family: Transfer RNA (tRNA) molecules are approximately 80 nucleotides in length. Their secondary structure includes four short double-helical elements and three loops (D, anti-codon, and T loops).
Source: RNAcentral